GCUCUACCCCCUGGUAAAUGCCGUCAAAUGCAGGCGGAAUGCGCUUUGCAUUCGUAAUGAGCUUUGACUUUUGGCUUCAGUUGCAUUUUCGAGCUUCACUUGCAGUUCGCAGGGAAAAUGUCGCAGGAAAUGGGAUUUGCGGUUGUCUUGCGGCUUUCCCUUUGUUGUCAUUGCGGUUUGCGGCUAUGUUGAAUCAAGUGUUAUGAUAGGUAUCCUCGCUAUUUGCUUGCCAACAAUGCCUGCAGCCAUUAAGCUCAAGAAUACCCAAAAGUGAGUGCCAUAAAGUAGGCAACACUUUCGCGGCUGCUCUUUAAAAACGCCACCAAAAGUGGAACAUAGAAAAAACCGUUUAUAGGAGCUGUAGUAAAACUUUUUCUGCUGUUUGUUCUUAUUUUAGAUUCUAAAUAUAGACGAAAAGUUUAAAGUUGAACCGCUUCCCCCGCCACCGUCAUGAAUUCCCACAACUGACGUCAGACGUUCGGCUACAAAAAGUGCAAUAUUUGAAUAUUCAAUUAAUUUAUGCAUUAUCCAGACACACACACACACCCAUACACCCAAACACACAAACGGAGUGGCAAGUUAGUGGGUGGUUCGAAAAUUCCUUUGCAUAGCCGAGAGGCGUCGAGUGCAAAACACAGAGAUUUCAGCUCGAGCGCCUGUAUGUAUGCACUUUUGAGUGAAAGUGUGGGUGUUCCUGAUUUAGUUCAGUGUUGGUGGUCCUGAGUCGACUGUAUCCGCGAGUGUAUGUAAGUAUCUGUGUGAGGUAGCCACGCACCGCGACCAGAAGAAGAGAACACGCCCCCAGUUGGCAACCAGUGAGCGAAUCGACCCUCGACCAACCCCUUGGUUCAAGUUCAAUGCAAUCUGCACCCACUGUCGCCGGCGACCUUGAAGAUUUAACCACGCGAAGCGGAGGAAGAGAAAGCGGUGGAACAUGCUAGCAACAAUAAUGAACACGGUAAAACCCGGCAAUUAAAGCCAGCACGUCACAAAUUGUUUAAUUUGCAGAUAAUAUGCAGGGGAUAACAUUUAAAACAACCUUUGAAACAAACAAUUGAUUUCUUUCGGGGUUUUCCCCCUCAUGGCGGAAUAGCCGAUUAUGCCAGGGAAAUUGGCGGGAAACCGAGAAAACCAAACUAAUUCUGUGAUACAACAAACAACGUUUGUCUAUGUCUUUUUCUCUCAACCCUCAUAGCUUGCUGUUUAAUUAGUUUAUGAACUUCCACAACAACAAGUUGUGCAAUGCCAGGAAAAUCUGAGGAAAAUUAGAUAAGAACAACCACAAGUGGCGGAAAAGCUGAUUCACUUGAGGCGCUGUUCGCUUAUAACAAACAUAUCCGAUGAAUAGUUUUGCUUACAGUCUGCAUGUUUUAAAAGAAUAUCUUCUUAUUCUGAUAGUGCAUUUAGAUCUAUUUGAUCUAUAGAAAUUCGCUUAAAAACCUAGUUAAUAUGGUAGAAUAAAUGAUUAAUAUAAUAAUUUCUAGAUACAAACCGAUCUUGAAGAUUGAAUAACGCGUGUUUGCAUUACAGCACCUGGCAGAUUGUUUUUUUUUCAUCACACGCGUCGUAUGCGUAAUAUUUAGAGUCAAUAACCAAGGGUGUAAACAAUGGAUGAACAACCGAACAAAAACUCAUUUAAAAAACAUAGCUACACACAUUUCCAAAUGUCAAAAAGAGAUGGAGACUCUCCCGAGUAAAUUCUAAAUGCUGUAAAUUAGCAUUUAUUGCCAGUGGGACAACUAGAACGAGCUGAAAAAGUGAUACGGGCCACAGGAAUAUUUCGAUAGAAUCAUCUAUACGGCUGGAAAAUGCUCCAGUAACGUGCAUAGGCAGGCUGCACUGUAACGCAAGCAGAGCGAGCGACAAAAGUGAUAAACAAACAUGACAAAGUCAACAAUUCCCGGUUUCAACCGCACACAAUCCAAUUAGAAUAAGCUUGAAGAGCAAUCAGCAGAGCGAGUGAGAAACAGCGAGAUCCACAGAGAGAGCGCGAAUUUCGCAAUAAUAAUCACAAUCACACUGAAAAAUAUCACAAAGCUAAUAUGUGUCUCGUAAAUAACGAAAUGAUCUUCAUCCAAAAAUUUUUCAAGUCUCACAUUAAAACUGACAUAACUAAUCUCAUGCGAGUGAAUUCCAGAUCGAUGACCACUGCUGACAUUAUUCUCAGUGCAUUGGAGCUGGCUGCAUUAUGACAUCACACCAGCGAUAAGAGCGAGAGGAGCGAUGGCGAUUCUAAUGAUCGCCCGCUGAGAAUGAAACAAAACUGUACCCUGCACACCAUAUGGAUAGACACACUGAAUGUGCGGAGUGUAUUUAAGCGGCUUAAUGAACCAUUUGGAAACUUUCACAGUCAUCAAACAUUAUGAUGUUGGCGAUUUUUGGCACUCCACGCCACAAGUGGAACAAAUCAAGUAUUUUUUUUUCGCCUUUUGGAUCUUUUAUUUUUUGGCUAUUUUCAAGUACCAUAUUUUGAGUCUUUGAAAUCGAGAAUGCCCUGACUUUAAAUAUAAAACAUGUUUCUCAA
Drosophila yakuba is the source of this 2524-nucleotide long non-coding RNA. RefSeq lists it as uncharacterized. NCBI's taxonomy places the organism in Eukaryota, Metazoa, Arthropoda, Insecta, Diptera, Drosophilidae. The record is from RefSeq and is a predicted model, not a curated record. The transcript is spliced from 2 exons.